This 451-nucleotide ribosomal RNA is filed under the name uncultured soil bacterium. RNAcentral's name for it is "bacterial SSU rRNA". It matches the Rfam family "Bacterial small subunit ribosomal RNA", at positions 26 to 518 of the family's 1533-position model. The record is from RNAcentral.
AGAACGAACGCUGGCGGCAGGCUUAACACAUGCAAGUCGAACGCACUCUUCGGAGUGAGUGGCAGACGGGUGAGUAAUGCGUGGGAAUCUACCUAGUUCUACGGAAUAACAGUUGGAAACGACUGCUAAUACCGUAUACGCCCUACGGGGGAAAGAUUUAUCGGAAUUAGAUGAGCCCACGUAAGAUUAGCUAGUUGGUGAGGUAAUGGCUCACCAAGGCGGCGAUCUUUAGCUGGUCUGAGAGGAUGAUCAGCCACACUGGGACUGAGACACGGCCCAGACUCCUACGGGAGGCAGCAGUGGGGAAUAUGGACAAUGGGCGCAAGCCUGAUCCAGCCAUGCCGCGUGAGUGAUGAAGGCCGUUAGGGUUGUAAAGCUCUUUCGAGUAGGGAAGAGUAAGUGACGGUACCCACAGAACGAAGCCCGGACUAACUUCGUGCCGAGCAGCCGC